RNAcentral lists this transfer RNA (64 nucleotides) under Ophthalmitis albosignaria. RNAcentral describes it as "tRNA-Thr". It matches the Rfam family "tRNA". Rfam says of the family: Transfer RNA (tRNA) molecules are approximately 80 nucleotides in length. Their secondary structure includes four short double-helical elements and three loops (D, anti-codon, and T loops). Lineage: Eukaryota; Metazoa; Arthropoda; Insecta; Lepidoptera; Geometridae. The record is from RNAcentral.
GUUUUUAUAGUUUAACAAAAACAUUGGUCUUGUAAACCAAAAUUAAGAAACUUCUUUAAAAACU